Molecule: non-coding RNA, 913 nt
Organism: Ornithorhynchus anatinus (platypus)
Lineage: Eukaryota; Metazoa; Chordata; Mammalia; Monotremata; Ornithorhynchidae
Source: the annotation of a RefSeq genome assembly
UCCUCCUCUCCCCUCACAGUCCUCUCCCCAUCCUGGUCACAACAUGCUGAUCCAAGUCCAGCUGCUGUGGCUGCUCUCAGCUCUCACAGGAUCUGAGGGUGCGGUACAGCUGGUGGAGUCCGGAGGAGGCGUGAAAUACUCUGGGGAAUCUCUGCGUCUCUCAUGCCAGGCUUCAGGAUUUACUUUUGGGGACUACUGGAUGGGUUGGUACCUGGAAGGAAAGUCCCGUGAGUUUGUGUCCAGCAUCAGUUACUGGGCUGGCAGUGAGAAAAGGUACGCGGAUGCAGUGAAGGGACGAUUCUCCAUCUCCAGGGACAACGCUAACAGCCGGUUGUACCUGCAGAUGGACAGGCUGCAAGUGGAGGACACCGCCCGGUAUAUCUGUGCAAGAGCACAGUGAGGAAAAGUGAGUGAGGGCUCAGACACAAACCUCUCGGGCCCCUCCUGAAUCAAGUCCCAGGAAGCUACUGUGGCUGCUGCUGCUGCUGCUGAACAGUAGCAUGUGAGAGGAAAUAAUGUCUAGCUGUCAUUGGUCAGCACACCAGAAAUCUCCCUUUUUGGCAUCCUGUCUCCAGGGAAGCCAUUAAAGCUUUACUCACCUGGCCCUCCACUCCCCCUUUCCUCUGCCUCCUCUUCCAGUCCCCAUGCCCAUGCCCAUAGCUUCCCUGGCCCUGCUGCCUCCCUAUUCCUCCAUCUGUGGACUCCAAACCUGCUCCUAUCAUAUUCUUUUAAACUUGUCCUCCAUUCCCUUCCUCUCUCUCUGCCAUGUCUUCAUUCUCAGACAUCUUCCCUCAAUGCCAUGUGGUAAAAGGGACAGGAAUGGGGUAGGGGACACUGGAUAGGAAGUGCUGGGAGGAGACAAACAGUGACAGAGUGGCAGUAGAAAUUAAAACAAGUAGACAGUGAUCUUGAA